Molecule: ribosomal RNA, 301 nt
Filed under: uncultured bacterium
Lineage: Bacteria
Description: partial 16S ribosomal RNA
Rfam family: Bacterial small subunit ribosomal RNA
Source: RNAcentral
CAGUAGCCACGGUAAUACGUAGGUCCCGAGCGUUGUCCGGAUUUACUGGGCGUAAAGCGAGCGCAGGCGGUUAGAUAAGUCUGAAGUUAAAGGCUGUGGCUUAACCAUAGUACGCUUUGGAAACUGUUUAACUUGAGUGCAAGAGGGGAGAGUGGAAUUCCAAGUGUAGCGGUGAAAUGCGUAGAUAUAUGGAGGAACACCGGUGGCGAAAGCGGCUCUCUGGCUUGUAACUGACGCUGAGGCUCGAAAGCGUGGGGAGCGAACAGGAUUAGAUACCCGGGUAGUCCCUGUCUCUUAUACA